AUUCAUGUGAACGCGUGAUACCAUGAUCCAAGAGAAAACUGAAAGGGGAAAGGAAAAGGAGAAAGAAAAGAUGAAUUAAGAAGGAAGGACUUGCAAGAAUCAGAUGAUCUGUCUUCAGUUAAAAGAACAACAAAAUCAAGAUGAGUAACAACAGAAGGAGAUGGAACUUAAAGGGAAACAAGAACGUUUUCAUGAAGAUGCUACUCACCUAGUUCCGUCAGCGAUGACCUACGUUUGGAAAGUUGGAGAAACGCCAGAAGGUUCCUACCGAAGGAAGAUUCAAAGGGAUGACAUUGUUCGGAGUAAAUUCGAAGAAAAGGAAGAAAAACAGGCGCCAAAAUGGAAAGGGACCGCGUAUAAGUCGUCGUUAAAAUCAUCCGAUACGAUGAAAAAAGACAAGAAGAAUAGAAAUGUUGAAAAUCGAGCGAUCACUUGGGAUUUAAAAGGAAUAGAACUUUUGAAAAUCGAACGAUUAGUAUAAAUUUCUUACUAAAUUUACGGCUAUAAUGAUAAUUUAAAUCACACUAAAGCGGAUUCUGCAAUCAUUAUUCACGAUAAGUCAACGAUAUAUUAUAAUCACAGCCUUGUGAUUUUUUUCAUCAGAAUUCUUUCGCCAAAUAGUUCGAUUACGUUUAAAAAGUUAAAAAGUAUCUAUUCAUAUUAAAGAUAAUAUAAUUGUAAUCUACUUGUUCGAGUUAUUAACGUUAUCUAUCAUCUUUGUGCAUAUAAUUUUUUCUAAUAAGAAAAGUUUUCAGCGAUAUAGGAAACGAGAAAUUGCAGAGAGAAUUAAGAACUUCAUUUCAUUCUCUCAAAAAGGGAAAAUUAAAAAUUGAACCAAUUCGUAAAGAAAAGAAAAAUUCACAAUCAGGUGCGUUGUAAUCCAGGGAACAUAUCAUGAAAUUCAAGUUGAAAAACGAAGAGAAAAAAAGAGAGAGAGAGAGAGGAAGGAAUAGAACGAAUAAAGAGAAUAGUGAAUUUCCGUUGGUAACGAUGAAAGCCCUUGCACAAAGUUAGGACCAUAAUCGAGGGACGGUCUUAGUACUAUACAACUGGGUCACUCUAGUCGAAGUAAUUUAUAGAUACAUUUCUACGUAUCUACAUCGUAACGUCGGACCAAAACUUUUCAAUAGUCACUUUAUAUACUUGAUAAUAAUAAUUAUUACCAUAAAUAAAUAUCUCAAGCCAAUAAAGGGAGCGACUAUAUUUUAAUUACCGAGAAAAAUAUCAUUCUUCUAGUUUCAAUUCGAAAAGGAAAUAUUAUUGUAAUAAUUAUCGUAAAAUAUGAAAUAUGGUUUGUAAUAUGUCGAUCGACGAAAAUUUUAUGAGAAUUUUACUUCCUCACACCUAUCAUGAAAAAACUCAACUUCGAGAAACGAGCCUUAUCCUAAGUUUUCCUCGUAAAUUGAAUUAAUUGUAAGUAAAACGAAAAGAAGAGAUCAUAAUUAUAAGUAAUAAAAUUUUAUUACAAACCUAUGUAAAUGUAAAACUGGAUACAUUAUCUUACAGUAUCUUUUAUAAAAACUCGGACGAUUGAUAUUUUUUAUUAUAUAGGAAGUAGAAAAAUCAACGCGAUCUUAUUCAUUUUCAUUUUCGAAUUUCAUCCUUUUGCUUAGACGAAUACGAAAGAUAUACUAUGAUAAGAUAGGACAUUUGUCAUUAUUUUUAUUUCCACGCGAUUUGGCCCCACCCAAAACGACCUUCUGUACGAGGCGGCCAAGCAAAUCGAUAGAGACAUGGAAGGUGGAAGGCCAUGGAAGAUUCUAUGGGUUGAAUUGAACUGGUCCAGAGAAGGAUAGAAAAGAAAAGAGAAAUCGUCAGAAAAUGAUGAUUCUUUGAGAUCUCUUCAGAACUUAUGACUAUUGUUUCAAUCGUUGGCAUCAUUUAACAGAUAACUUGUUUGUUGUUUCUUCCUUUCUUUUAUCGUAUAUUAUUAUAUAGCAAGAAUAAACUGUGAUGUAUGAUUGGGUAAAAGUGCGUGCGUGCGGGCGUGCGUGCGUGCGUGCGUGCGUAUGUGUGUUCGUACGUGAUUACGUGCGUGCCGACGUAACUAAAACGAGUCUGUCUUCGGGUUAAGGACGAAGAAAAGGAUCACAUUGGUAAUAGUCCAUAAGAUAAAUUUCUUUUGAUUACUUGUAAGACGCAACAGUUAUAUUAAAUUAUCCCCGAUCGAGUGAAACAUAAACAAUUCGUAGAAUAGCCAAAAAAAGAAAGAAAAAAGGUUCUCUUUGCCUAAAUAGAAUACUAUUGAUAUUUAUUAUCUCGUUUUCGCAUGUUUCAUCUUGAUUUUUGAGAUAAGUUCCUUCGAUAUUAUCGAGCUAAUUUUAUGGUUAUACAAUUUUUUGUUUGGACAUAGUCGAAUGAAUAAAAUCAUACAAUGCUA
Vespa velutina is the source of this 2380-nucleotide long non-coding RNA. RefSeq lists it as uncharacterized. The record is from RefSeq and is a predicted model, not a curated record. Lineage: Eukaryota; Metazoa; Arthropoda; Insecta; Hymenoptera; Vespidae. The transcript has 2 exons.